Molecule: ribosomal RNA, 523 nt
Filed under: Plectorhinchus cinctus (crescent sweetlips)
Lineage: Eukaryota; Metazoa; Chordata; Actinopteri; Lutjaniformes; Haemulidae
Description: partial 16S ribosomal RNA
Rfam family: Bacterial large subunit ribosomal RNA
Source: RNAcentral
AGAGGUCCCGCCUGCCCUGUGACCAAAAGUUUAACGGCCGCGGUAUUUUGACCGUGCAAAGGUAGCGCAAUCACUUGUCUCUUAAAUGGGGACCCGUAUGAAUGGCAUAACGAGGGCUUAACUGUCUCCUUUUUCAGGUCAAUGAAAUUGAUCUCCCCGUGCAGAAGCGGGGAUAAACACAUAAGACGAGAAGACCCUAUGGAGCUUCAGACACCAAGACAGACCAUGUCAAGCACCCCAAAUUAACGGGCCAAACAAAUGAGACCCUGUCCUAAUGUCUUCGGUUGGGGCGACCGCGGGGAAAUACAAAACCCCCAUGUGGAAAGGGAGCACCCCUCCUACAGCCAAGAGCUUCCGCUCUAUUAAACAGAACCUCUGACCUUAAGAUCCGGCAAAGCCGAUCAACGGACCAAGUUACCCUAGGGAUAACAGCGCAAUCCCCUUCUAGAGCCCAUAUCGACAAGGGGGUUUACGACCUCGAUGUUGGAUCAGGACAUCCUAAUGGUGCAGCCGCUAUUAAGGG